Molecule: ribosomal RNA, 253 nt
Filed under: uncultured bacterium
Lineage: Bacteria
Description: partial 16S ribosomal RNA
Rfam family: Bacterial small subunit ribosomal RNA
Source: RNAcentral
UACGUAGGGUGCAAGCGUUGUCCGGAUUUAUUGGGCGUAAAGAGUUCGUAGGCGGUUUGUCACGUCGGAUGUGAAAUCCCAGAGCUUAACUCUGGGCCUGCAUUCGAUACGGGCUUACUAGAGUGUUGUAGGGGAGACUGGAACUCCUGGUGUAGCGGUGAAAUGCGCAGAUAUCAGGAAGAACACCAGUGGCGAAGGCGGCUUCCUGGCCUGUAACUGACGCUGAGACGCGAAAGCGUGGGGAGCGAACCGG